This 314-nucleotide ribosomal RNA is filed under the name uncultured bacterium. RNAcentral's name for it is "partial 16S ribosomal RNA". It matches the Rfam family "Bacterial small subunit ribosomal RNA", at positions 495 to 807 of the family's 1533-position model. The record is from RNAcentral.
GUAUAAGAGACAGCAGCAGCCACGGUAAAACGGAGGGUGCAAGCGUUAAUCGGAAUUACUGGGCGUAAAGCGCACGCAGGCGGUUUGUUAAGUCAGAUGUGAAAUCCCCGAGCUUAACUUGGGAACUGCAUUUGAAACUGGCAAGCUAGAGUCUUGUAGAGGGGGGUAGAAUUCCAGGUGUAGCGGUGAAAUGCGUAGAGAUCUGGAGGAAUACCGGUGGCGAAGGCGGCCCCCUGGACAAAGACUGACGCUCAGGUGCGAAAGCGUGGGGAGCAAACAGGAUUAGAUACCCCGGUAGUCCCUGUCUCUUAUAC